GGACUACUGGGGUAUCUAAUCCUGUUUGCUCCCCACGCUUUCGUGCCUCAGUGUCAGUAUUAGGCCAGGUAGCCGCCUUCGCCACUGGUGUUCCUUCCGAUCUCUACGCAUUUCACCGCUACACCGGAAAUUCCACUACCCUCUCCCAUACUCCAGUCUAACAGUCUUAUCUGACCACCCCAGGUUAAGCCCGGGAAUUUCACAGAUAACUUAUCAAACCACCUACGCACCCUUUACGCCCAGUAAUUCCGAUUAACGCUCGCACCCUCCGUAUUACCGCGGCUGCUGGCAC
RNAcentral lists this ribosomal RNA (292 nucleotides) under uncultured bacterium. RNAcentral describes it as "partial 16S ribosomal RNA". The record is from RNAcentral.